RNAcentral lists this ribosomal RNA (340 nucleotides) under Clostridioides difficile. RNAcentral's name for it is "bacterial SSU rRNA". It matches the Rfam family "Bacterial small subunit ribosomal RNA", at positions 497 to 841 of the family's 1533-position model. Lineage: Bacteria; Bacillati; Bacillota; Clostridia; Peptostreptococcales; Peptostreptococcaceae. The record is from RNAcentral.
CUAACUACGUGCCAGCAGCCGCGGUAAUACGUAGGGGGCUAGCGUUAUCCGGAUUUACUGGGCGUAAAGGGUGCGUAGGCGGUCUUUCAAGUCAGGAGUGAAAGGCUACGGCUCAACCGUAGUAAGCUCUUGAAACUGGGAGACUUGAGUGCAGGAGAGGAGGGUGGAAUUCCUAGUGUAGCGGUGAAAUGCGUAGAUAUUAGGAGGAACACCAGUUGCGAAGGCGGCUCUCUGGACUGUAACUGACGCUGAGGCACGAAAGCGUGGGGAGCAAACAGGAUUAGAUACCCUGGUAGUCCACGCUGUAAACGAUGAGUACUAGGUGUCGGGGGUUACCCCC